GUCUGUUCGGCGACCCGUCUGCCUGUUUUUCUAUUUUUAAAUUUAGCCUAGUUUGUUGGGCUCCCGGCGAAUUCUUGUGUUCUUUCUGCACUUCGACACGGCACCCCUGCACUAUUGGACUACGGCAAGCUGACGUCGUCCGGUGGAGCUUCCUACGGGAACUACUGCUGCUUACCUGGUGCCACAACGUUCAAUGCACAAAGCCCACAACAACAUUUAUAUAGAAUAAAAUAAACUUUUCCUCAUUUCAGAA
RNAcentral lists this long non-coding RNA (253 nucleotides) under Dermacentor andersoni. RNAcentral describes it as "uncharacterized LOC126545239". Lineage: Eukaryota; Metazoa; Arthropoda; Arachnida; Ixodida; Ixodidae. The record is from RNAcentral.